This 468-nucleotide ribosomal RNA is filed under the name uncultured bacterium. RNAcentral describes it as "partial 16S ribosomal RNA". It matches the Rfam family "Bacterial small subunit ribosomal RNA", at positions 28 to 507 of the family's 1533-position model. The record is from RNAcentral.
GACGAACGCUGGCGGCGUGCUUAACACAUGCAAGUCGAACGGAAAGGCCCUGCUUUUGUGGGGUGCUCGAGUGGCGAACGGGUGAGUAACACGUGAGUAACCUGCCCUUGACUUUGGUAUAACUUCAGGAAACUGGGGCUAAUACCGGAUAGGAUCUCCUGCUGCAUGGUGGGGGUUGGAAAGUUUCGGCGGUUGGGGAUGGACUCGCGGCUUAUCAGCUUGUUGGUGGGGUAGUGGCUUACCAAGGCUUUGACGGGUAGCCGGCCUGAGAGGGUGACCGGGCACAUUGGGACUAAGAUACGGCGCAGAAUGCUACGGGAGGCAGCAGUGGGGAAUAUUGCACAAUGGGCGGAAGCGUGAUGCAGAAACGCCGCGUGCGGGAUGACGGCCUUCGGGUUGUAAACAGCAGUCGACUGUGACGAAGCGUGAGUGACGGUAAUGGGUAAAGAAGCACCGGCUAACUACGUG